This 301-nucleotide ribosomal RNA is filed under the name uncultured bacterium. Its description in RNAcentral is "partial 16S ribosomal RNA". It matches the Rfam family "Bacterial small subunit ribosomal RNA", at positions 509 to 809 of the family's 1533-position model. The record is from RNAcentral.
CAGCAGCCGCGGUAAUACAGAGGGUGCGAGCGUUAAUCGGAUUUACUGGGCGUAAAGCGUGCGUAGGCGGCUAAUUGAGUCGGAUGUGAAAUCCCCGAGCUUAACUUGGGAAUUGCAUUCGAUACUGGUUAGCUAGAGUGUGGGAGAGGAUGGUAGAAUUCCAGGUGUAGCGGUGAAAUGCGUAGAGAUCUGGAGGAAUACCGAUGGCGAAGGCAGCCAUCUGGCCUAACACUGACGCUGAGGUACGAAAGCAUGGGGAGCAAACAGGAUUAGAUACCCCAGUAGUCCCUGUCUCUUAUAU